This 210-nucleotide ribosomal RNA is filed under the name Morganella morganii. RNAcentral describes it as "partial 16S ribosomal RNA". It matches the Rfam family "Bacterial small subunit ribosomal RNA", at positions 1 to 213 of the family's 1533-position model. Lineage: Bacteria; Pseudomonadati; Pseudomonadota; Gammaproteobacteria; Enterobacterales; Morganellaceae. The record is from RNAcentral.
UUUAAUUGAAGAGUUUGAUCAUGGCUCAGAUUGAACGCUGGCGGCAGGCCUAACACAUGCAAGUCGGGCGGUAACAGGGAGAAGCUUGCUUCUCUGCUGACGAGCGGCGGACGGGUGAGUAAUGUAUGGGGAUCUGCCUGAUGGCGGGGGAUAACUACUGGAAACGGUAGCUAAUACCGCAUAAUGUCUUCGGACCAAAGCGGGGGACCU